GACGAACGCUGGCGGCGUGCUUAACACAUGCAAGUCGAGCGAUGAAGCACCUUCGGGUGUGAAUUAGCGGCGAACGGGUGAGGAACACGUGAAGAAUCUGCCUUCAACUCUGGGAUAACUCCGGGAAACCGGGGCUAAUACCGGAUAUGAGCCUUGAUCGCAUGAUCGGGGCUGGAAAGUUUUUCGGUUGAAGAUGACUUCGCGGCCUAUCAGCUUGUUGGUGAGGUAAUGGCUCACCAAGGCGACGACGGGUAGCCGGCCUGAGAGGGCGACCGGCCACACUGGGACUGAGACACGGCCCAGACUCCUACGGGAGGCAGCAGUGGGGAAUUUUCCGCAAUGGGCGAAAGCCUGACGGAGCAAUCUCGCGUGGGGGAUGACGGCCUAUGGGUUGUAAACCUCUUUUUUCUAGGGAGGAACAAAAUGACGUGUACCUGAAGAAUAAGCAUCGGCUAACUCCGUG
This 463-nucleotide ribosomal RNA is filed under the name uncultured bacterium. RNAcentral describes it as "bacterial SSU rRNA". It matches the Rfam family "Bacterial small subunit ribosomal RNA", at positions 28 to 507 of the family's 1533-position model. The record is from RNAcentral.